ACGGCGAGUGAAGCGGCAACAGCUCAAAUUUGAAAUCUGGCUUCGGCCCGAGUUGUAAUUUGCAGAGGAUGCUUUUGGUGCGGUGCCUUCCGAGUUCCCUGGAACGGGACGCCACAGAGGGUGAGAGCCCCGUAUGGUCGGACACCAAUCCUGUGUAAAGCUCCUUCGACGAGUCGAGUAGUUUGGGAAUGCUGCUCUAAAUGGGAGGUAAAUCUCUUCUAAAGCUAAAUACCGGCCAGAGACCGAUAGCGCACAAGUAGAGUGAUCGAAAGAUGAAAAGCACCUUGAAAAGGGGGUUAAACAGUACGUGAAAUUGUUGAAAGGGAAGCACUUGUGACCAGACUUGGGCCGGGCGGCUCAUCAGGGGUUCUCCCCUGUGCAUUCCGCCCGGUACAGGCCAGCAUCGGUUCUUACCGGGGGAUAAGAACGGCAGGAACGUGGCUCCCUCUCGGGGGAGUGUUAUAGCCUGCCGUACGAUACCCUGGCGGGGACCGAGGUUCGCGCUUCCGCAAGGAUGCUGGCGUAAUGGUUACUAGUGACCCGUCUUGAAACACGGACCAAGGAGUCGUCCAUUAGAGCGAGCGUUUGGGUGUAAAACCCGCACGCGUAAUGAAAGUGAAAUUAGGUGAGAGCUUCGGCGCAUCAUCGACCGAUCCUGAUGUUCUCGGAUGGAUUUGAGUAAGAGUUUUAACGGACGGACCCGAAAGACAGUGAACUAUGCUUGUAUAGGGUGAAGCCAGAGGA
This 744-nucleotide ribosomal RNA is filed under the name Tubakia dryina. RNAcentral describes it as "eukaryotic LSU rRNA". It matches the Rfam family "Eukaryotic large subunit ribosomal RNA", at positions 86 to 859 of the family's 3401-position model. The record is from RNAcentral. Lineage: Eukaryota; Fungi; Ascomycota; Sordariomycetes; Diaporthales; Tubakiaceae.